ACGCAAACAGUUUCCUUAUAUUAUUUCUCUUUAGGCAUCCGUUACACUUCAACUCUGACAUUCUCCUUGUCUAUUAGUGCUACUCUUUGAUGACUUUACCUUUUUUUUUCACUCUCACUUAUUAUUUUCUUCAUGCACGCCUCCAAUUAAAUCAAAACCCUAAUUAAUGAGCCAACCUCUCUUUUGACUUCCCUGAGAUAAGCAACAAAUAAUUUUAAUUAUAUACAUAAACUAAACUGUCUUAAUCUUGUAAAAUGUAACCUAAAACUUAUUUUCUGAACAAACGUCCGCUCCACUCCAGAGACUAUCCAUCCUAUAUAAUAUAACCCAAGCAGAAGAAAAGCUCAAAC
Molecule: long non-coding RNA, 350 nt
Filed under: Citrus maxima (pomelo)
Lineage: Eukaryota; Viridiplantae; Streptophyta; Magnoliopsida; Sapindales; Rutaceae
Description: long non-coding RNA (CMAX_LNC002780)
Source: RNAcentral